GGUUAAAAAGCUCGUAGUUGGAUUUCUGUUGAGGACGACCGGUCAGCACUAUGUGCUUGUAUCUGGUUCGGCCUUGGCAUCCUUCUGGGGAACGGUGCUGCGCUUGAUUGCGUGGUCCGGUAUUCAGAACUUUUACUUUGAGGAAAUUAGAGUGUUUACGGCAGGCAUACGCCUUGAAUACAUUAGCAUGGAAUAAUACUAUAGGACCUUGGUUCUAUUUUGUUGGUUUCUAGAACUAAGGUAAUGAUUAAUAGGGAUAAUUGGGGGCAUUCGUAUUAACACGUCAGAGGUGAAAUUCUUGGAUUGUGUUACGACGAACUACUGCGAAAGCAUUUGCCAAGGAUGUUUUCAUUGAUCAAGAACGAAAGUGCGGGGAUCGAAGACGAUUAGAUACCGUCGUAGUCUGCACCAUAAACUAUGCCAACUAGAGAUUGGUGGUCGUUCUUUUUAUGACUCCAUCAGCACCUUAUGAGAAAUCAAAGUCUUUGGGUUCCGGGGGGAGUAUGGUCGCAAGGCUGAAACUUAAAGGAAUUGACGGAAAGGGCACCACCAGGAGUGGAGCCUGCGGCUUAAUUUGACUCAACACGGGAAAACUUACCAGGUCCAGACAUAGUAAGGAUUGACAGAUUGAUAGCUCUUUCUUGAUCCUAUGGGUGGUGGUGCAUGGCCGUUCUUAG
This 677-nucleotide ribosomal RNA is filed under the name uncultured marine eukaryote. Its description in RNAcentral is "SSU rRNA". It matches the Rfam family "Eukaryotic small subunit ribosomal RNA", at positions 617 to 1297 of the family's 1831-position model. The record is from RNAcentral.